Molecule: long non-coding RNA, 237 nt
Organism: Fundulus heteroclitus (mummichog)
Lineage: Eukaryota; Metazoa; Chordata; Actinopteri; Cyprinodontiformes; Fundulidae
Exons: 3
Source: RefSeq, a predicted model, not a curated record
UGCUUGCACUUCUUCUACCACAGUAUGAAUGCCAGAUUGAUGCUUGCCAUUCUCCAUUUCAAUGAGAAUUCCAACAGACAGCAGGCUAAGAACAAAGCUGGAAAAGAAAUGUGGCAGCUCUCAUUUCCAAAGGCAAAAAAAGGAGAACCAGUAGCCAAACAAGUUAAAGUCCCUUGUACUUAUGCAUACAUUGAUGAGUUGUUGGAUGAAGUAAUGGCUCGUCGGGAGGCCAUACCU